Molecule: ribosomal RNA, 492 nt
Filed under: uncultured bacterium
Lineage: Bacteria
Description: partial 16S ribosomal RNA
Rfam family: Bacterial small subunit ribosomal RNA
Source: RNAcentral
AUUGAACGCUGGCGGCAUGCCUUACACAUGCAAGUCGAACGGUAACAGGUUAAGCUGACGAGUGGCGAACGGGUGAGUAAUACAUCGGAACGUGCCCAGACGUGGGGGAUAGCUCGGCGAAAGCCGGAUUAAUACCGCAUAAGCUCUGAGGAGGAAGGGGGGGAACGUAAGGGCCUGCGCGUUUGGAGCGGGCCGUGGGGGAUUAGGUAGUUGGGGGGGUAAAGGCUUACCAAGCCCACGAACUGUAGCUGGUCUGAGAGGACGACCAGCCACACUGGGACUGAGACACGGCCCAGACUCCGACGGGAGGCAGCAGUGGGGAAUUUUGGACAAUGGGCGAAAGCCUGAUCCAGCAAUGCCGCGUGCAGGAUGAAGGCCUUCGGGUUGUAAACUGCUUUUGUACGGAACGAAAAGGCGCCUACUAAUACUGGGUGUUGAUGACGGUACCGUAAGAAUAAGCACCGGCUAACUACGUGCCAGCCGCCGCAGUAA